ACCAUGGCAGGGAGUAAGUUGUGGGAAGAAAGAUGCUUGCAGCUGGGAGGGAAACAAAGGACAUUCAUCACAGCCUACAUAGCAAGACCUGCCUGAAGGUCGAGAGAGAGCAGGGGGAGGACAUCCCAACCAUGACGUAAUCCCUCCAACUGGGUCCCACCUCUUAAAAGUCCCGCAGGCUUUCAAUAAUAGCACCACAGGCUGCAAACCAACUCCUUAAAAUGUGGGACAUUCAAGAUCCCAAAUGUAACAGAGACCCUGUCCCAGCCUCUUUGUGUGCUGAGCGUAGAAGAACCCCCUCUUUCAGGAGAGACUUCCAUGGGAGUGUAUCACAGUCUAUACAGAGCGAUGAGAACUUCAGUUCAACUACAUGGGGAGAUUGGGAACUGAGGGGAGGGAGACAGGCUGAGCUCAGCGAGGUAUGGGGGAGAAAUACAGUCUCCAUUAGUGGCGGUAUUGCCAGUCAUUUGUAAGAAGUCUGAUCUGGUGCUAGGGAUGGUAGCAUACUCACAUGCAAGAAAUGUGAAACCAUGGUGUACAUGCAGGCUUAGAAGCAGGUGGCUAAGAGACUGGGGUGCUCAUACACACUGGCGUAUGCAUCUGAACAUGCUCACACAGAUGCAUGGCUCACGGUGAAUGACUGGGGGGCAGCCAAAGCUGCAUCAGACAGGGUGAAACCCUACCUCAGUAGAGUGGCCGUGUUUCUCUUUUACCAAAAAAAAAAAAAAAAAA
RNAcentral lists this long non-coding RNA (732 nucleotides) under Rattus norvegicus (Norway rat). Its description in RNAcentral is "long non-coding RNA NONRATT027648". The record is from RNAcentral. Lineage: Eukaryota; Metazoa; Chordata; Mammalia; Rodentia; Muridae.